RNAcentral lists this ribosomal RNA (227 nucleotides) under uncultured bacterium. RNAcentral describes it as "partial 16S ribosomal RNA". It matches the Rfam family "Bacterial small subunit ribosomal RNA", at positions 524 to 746 of the family's 1533-position model. The record is from RNAcentral.
UACGUAGGGUGCGAGCGUUUAAUCGGAAUUACUGGGCGUAAAGCGUGCGCAGGCGGUUUUGUAAGCCAGAUGUGAAAUCCCCGGGCUUAACCUGGGAAUGGCAUUUGGGACUGCAAGGCUCGAGUGCGGCAGAGGAGACUGGAAUUCCUGGUGUAGCAGUGAAAUGCGUAGAUAUCAGGAGGAACACCGAUGGAGCGAAGGCAGGUCGUCUGGGCUGACACUGACGC